AACGUAGGGGACAAGCGUUAUCCGGAUUUACUGGGCGUAAAGCGCCCGUAGGCGGCCUGACAAGUUGGACGUGAAAGCUCCUGGCUUAACUGGGAGAGGCCGUUCAAAACUGUCAAGCUAGAGUCUGGAAGAGGAGAGCGGAAUUCCCGGUGUAGUGGUGAAAUGCGCAGAUAUCAGGAAGAACACCCGUGGCGAAAGCGGCUCUCUGGAACGGUACUGACGCUGAGACGCGAAAGCGUGGGGAGCGAACAGG
RNAcentral lists this ribosomal RNA (253 nucleotides) under uncultured bacterium. RNAcentral describes it as "partial 16S ribosomal RNA". It matches the Rfam family "Bacterial small subunit ribosomal RNA", at positions 524 to 776 of the family's 1533-position model. The record is from RNAcentral.